ACACAAACCUCCAUGAGCCAUCAUUCUUUACUAGUAAAACAGGUGAGGAGAAAGGGAUGGAAAUAGGCUGAAUGAGUGAAUUUUUCAGCAUUUCAGUAACCAAUUUUUCAAUUUCGUUUUUCUGAAAAUGUGGGUAUCUAUAAGGUCUUAUGCUGAAAGGCUGAGUAUUGGGUAGCAAUGAGCCAUCCUUCUUUACUAGUAAAAUAGGUGAGGAGAAAGGCUGGAAAUAGGCUGAAUGAGUGAAUUUUUCAGCAUUUCAGUAACCAAUUUUUCAAUCUCGUUUUUUCUGAAAAUGUGGUUAUCUAUAAGGUCUUAUGUUGAAAGGCUGAGUAUUGGGUAGCAAUGGAAUAUAAUGAUUAUAAUGUUUGAAAGGUGGUAGGGCUGAAGGUGUUUAGAAUAUAGCUUGGUACUUGUUUAGGAGUAACUGUAAUUCAUAAUUGGGUAUAUCAUCUUCAGGAGCUGACUUGUUCUCCUCACUUGAUGGGACAACAAUGUAAACAAGAAGAAACUGAAAAUUUGCCCCACUUCAAUUUAGUAAUAGCUCAUAAUUGUUACUAGCAACAGCUUGGUUGUAGAAGACAAAUCUCUUAUGGCCUGCAAAGUAAUCAGCCUUCCUUCCUCCUAAAGGUCACAGUGGAGUAGUGAAAAUCAAAUAGGAAGGAUCAAAUAGCUUCAUCCAAUUUACUCCCAAUAUGAUAUCAAAAUUACCUAUAUCUAGCACCCUCAAAUAAAAUGUAAACUUGAAAUAUUGAACCCACUAAGUAAAUCUAAGACACAUAUGAGUGCUGGUCAUCCUUCUACCAUCAGCCACUGUUGUUGCCAUCUCAGGAACCUCUAUCAAGGGUAGUUUUAACUCAGCAGCCAUUCUAGCAUCCAUGAAACUGUGGAUACUCCCACUAUCCAUCAAUAUUAUGAACUACCUAUUCUUAUAUUGUCCCAAAACCCUCAUAAUUGCUUCUCCUUCACUACCCUCUAUAGCAUUUAAGGACAAAGUCAUCUCUUCCUUUUUCAGUUCCUUCCUCUCCCUUUAGCAUCUCAUGCCAUUCCUUAUCCACCUCCAACUCAAGUUCCUCUCUUUGCAUGGCCAUUAUAGGUUUUUGUUUGCAUUGGUGACCUAGA
RNAcentral lists this long non-coding RNA (1119 nucleotides) under Manihot esculenta (cassava). RNAcentral's name for it is "long non-coding RNA (MESC_LNC008590)". Lineage: Eukaryota; Viridiplantae; Streptophyta; Magnoliopsida; Malpighiales; Euphorbiaceae. The record is from RNAcentral.